Molecule: unclassified non-coding RNA, 391 nt
Filed under: soil metagenome
Description: partial contains 5.8S ribosomal RNA, internal transcribed spacer 2, and large subunit ribosomal RNA
Rfam family: 5.8S ribosomal RNA (bases 1-122)
Source: RNAcentral
GAUGAAGAACGUAGCGAAAUGCGAUACUUGGUGUGAAUUGCAGAAUCCCGUGAACCAUCGAGUCUUUGAACGCAAGUUGCGCCCGAAGCCAUUAGGCCGAGGGCACGCCUGCCUGGGCGUCACACGUCGUUGCCCCCCCAUCUACUCCUUCGGGAUUGCGGGGGGCGGAUGAUGGCCUCCCGUGCGCCUCGUCGCGCGGUUGGCAUAAAUGCCAAGUCCUCGGCGACGCACGCCACGACAAUCGGUGGUUGCGAAACCUCGGUUGCCCGUCGUGUGCGGUCGUCGCGCAUCGAGGGCCCGAAAAAAUUGCCGGGCUCCGGCUCGGCUUUCAACGCGACCCCAGGUCAGGCGGGGUUACCCGCUGAAUUUAAGCAUAUCAAUAAGCGGAGGA